Molecule: long non-coding RNA, 396 nt
Filed under: Brassica napus (rape)
Lineage: Eukaryota; Viridiplantae; Streptophyta; Magnoliopsida; Brassicales; Brassicaceae
Description: long non-coding RNA (BNAP_LNC012717)
Source: RNAcentral
UUGAGGGGGAGCUUACGUAGUUGUACUCUUUUUACCUUACUAUGGUUUUUCCCAUUGGGUUUUCCUGGAAAGGUUUUUAACAAGGCAACAAAGACGUUAAGCGAGAAUGGAUAGUGACACCGGUCCCCAAGGGAGAGUGUUAUGAAAGCAGCCGAUUAUGUUGAAAAUAUAAAAGAUGUGGGGUCCGAUGUACUAUUUGUACAGUGAAUCCUACUUUUUAACUUCUAUAUAAACGAUCGAGUUCGAUCGUUUAUAACUCGCAUCUCACAAUCUUUUUUCUCUCUAUAAUAAACUCUCUCUAUAUCAGUGUUAUUUCUUUCUACGGGUAUAAAAUUUUGCCCUUAUUUAAAUUCCUACGAUACAAUAAAAUUCUGAUUCUUUUCAUAACAGAAUUUU